Molecule: long non-coding RNA, 3571 nt
Filed under: Homo sapiens (human)
Lineage: Eukaryota; Metazoa; Chordata; Mammalia; Primates; Hominidae
Description: HSALNT0269107
Source: RNAcentral
CACUCUUGCCAGUAAGUUACAUCGAAGCAGCUAUAUGGUAGAAUUGAUUAUGUAACACAAAACCCAUGGUAUCCAUUGCUCCUUAGAGUAGAAUUUAAAUCUUUACCUGGGCUCACAAGGUCCUGCCUCAAGUCCAGUCUCAGUUCAUCCUUUGGACUUCUUCUGGAAGAUUCCUCCGUAUCAGCCUGCCUUCUGGUCUUGACAUUUCCCUUUCUUACCUCGGGGCUUGUGCACCUGCCGUUGCCUCUCCUGGAAAGCUCUUCCCCAGGGCUUCACGUAACUGCCUUUGAAUCAUGCAGGAACGAUCUGCGUAGGGUGAUUUUUCACACCACUGUAUCCCUAGUACCUAGACCGUCCACAUGGAACAGAUGUGAUCACCAAGUUUUAGAAGAAACUUGCAAGCCCAUCGUCCAACACUUAACAUCUUUAUAGAUGGGGAAAUCCAAAGACGACAACUCAGCCCUGUCCCUCGUUGCAUGGUGUUUGGUGGAUGACUUGGCAUGAAGCAUCAUAUCUACAAGAAAAACAAGUCAAAGGCUGAUGCCUCUGAUGGGGAAAUCACCACUCUCUCAGUGGGCAGCCACAGGAAAUGGGUACCUGUCUAUACUGGGGCCACAGGAUUAUGGGGCAAUAUCCCACAUGCCAGAGCAUAACAUAGAGGCUCAUUAAGGACAGAUAUUUGGGAGUGUAUAUUUAUCAAAAAUUCAGAUGGGUGAAUGGCCAUCACAAAUGGGAGAGAGAACUGUUAGCCAACGGGUGACUCAGGGGCUGAGUGUGCACCCCUGUUAUGAAAACUGAUUGUUAAAAAAAAAAAAAAAGUUGUUUGCACUCAUCACAGAUAUCAACAUUUGAAGGCACUGGCUGAUUCCAACUUAUGGCAUAAAUGACUAUUCAAUCGCAAUUGGAAUAGCUUAGACAAAUUAUCUGUGAUUAAAGCAGGCCAAUUUCUCAAAAUAAAAGUCCAACCUGGAGCACAAAUGAGCCUAAGCGCUUGGUCCUUGGAAUAGUGACUUUUCUCUCUUGCAAAGCUUGGUCUCUAACCAAAUAAGUAUUUACCUAUACAUUUAGAGUUCAGAUCAAUAGGAGGAAGAUGAAAUAGCCAAGACUGCUUUUGUUGCACAUGACAAUGACAUAACUCAUCUUGUUUAAGAAUGAAAGGAGGCCGGGUGCGGUGGCUCACGCCUGCAAUCUAAACACUUUGGGAGGCUGAGGCAGGCGGAUCAUGAGGUCAGGAGAUCGAGACCUUCCUGGCUAACAUGGUGAAACCCCAUCUCUACUAAAAAUACAAAAAAUUAGCCCGGCGAGGUGGCAGACGCCUGUAGUCCCAGCUACUCGGGAGGCUGAGGCAGGAGAAUGGCGUGAACCUGAGAGGCGGAGCUUGCAGUGAGCCGAGAUCAUGCCACUGCACUCCAGCCUGGGCAACAGAGCGAGACUCCAACUCAAAAAAAAAAAAAAAAGAAUGAAAGGGAACUUAGCACUUGUAACUGAAGCAUCCAAGUUUACUGCUGACUUCAGGCAUGCUGGAUCCAGGCGGCGAGAAGCGUUAUCAAGAAUGUGUCAUUCUCUAUUUCUUGGCUCUGCUUUCCUCUAUAUUGCCAUUACUUUCAAGUAGGCUGUCUCCAUGUGAAUGGCAAAGCAAUCAUCUGUAGCUUCAGGCCUAGAUGGUCCCCACAACUGGUGGCUCCAAAAGAAACCAAAAGAAACACACACACACACACACACACACACAUACACACACACACACACACACACACACACACCCCUUUUUCCCAAUAGCUCUCACGAAAGUCCCAGGCAAGAAUCUCUCUGGCUAUACUUGGAACACAUACCCAACCCAGAACCCAUUCUCCUUGUUGGCCAUUUUGUGCAUAUCCAGGUGAUCACCAUGACCAGCCAUGCUGCCAUAAGGAUUCUUUUCAAGUCUCUUUAGGCAUCCACAUAAGGGGUACUGUGGAGUAUAGAGAUGACUAUUUCUUUGAAUACUGUGAUAGAUGCAAUAGUAGACUUGCAUUCAAGGUACCAUAGUACAGUAUAAGAAAAAAUAUAUAUGCCUUUGUAAACUGUGCUUACUCGCUCAGGAGCAGGGGGACGCCCCCUUCUUAAGGGAAGAGCCGGCAUCACACGCCCUCCCAGCUCAAGCUUCCCCUGCGACCUGCACGUGUGUGAAUUGGCAGGCCCCACUAAUAUUGGUAUUUCCCUCUCAUUCCUACUAUUACCCCUGCCAAGCUUGGGAUGGCAGAGUUGGAGUCAUAUCCAUUCUAGGAGCCUAAAGAUGUGACUCCUCUGCAUUGAUGAGAGACACGGAAGAGGGAAAAGCAAGGAAAGACUUUAGUGAGCUCUGAAGUCCCACCUGCCACUCCACUAAAUGCCAGAAUCAUCUGGCCUCACUUAGUGGGUGGAGCAAAUUCCUGCCCCCCAGGGCCUCCCUCCUGAACCUGCAAGGUUGGUGGGAGAGGGAGACCCUCCCCAAAAGAGGAAGCCUGUUGUGUUGAGAGUGAUUUCAGAGACCUCAGCCAGGAAAGGUAAAUCAAAAUAACCCUUACACUCCGCCUCCUUCUUCCUUUAGAGGGGAAUGUUUCCUGGCACGGGUGCUGCAGCUUAAUAAAUUGCAUGCAGUAGAUUUCAGGCCUUGAGAAAAUCUUAACACUAGCUAAUAUGACCAGCACUAACAAAAUUUCUUGGAGCUUAUAAUAACAAAAAAAGCUCAUUGACGGAUUCCCACUUUUAUUCCUGCCCCCCUUUUCCACUUAGCCUUAAAUUUUUUUUAAUAAGAAAUUUUUAUUAACAAAAACAACAACAAAAAAAAAACAGAGUGAAGCACUUCACAAGAUCUUGCCCAGUUUAUUUUUUUAAUCUGUAAUAAUGAGCAUAACAGUUCAGCAAUGGAAUACUCACUCCAACAAAAUCUCCAGAUCUUUACAUCCUGAGUCUGCGAGGGCUGGACACAUGCCCUUGCUAAUUAUCAACCUUCUGAAACAGCUCAAGACAUGGGAUUAAAAACUGCUGUGGAAUUUGAACUCACGGACAUUCAUCUGAGUCAGCUACUCUGAACUCGCAUCUACUAUAAGGACCUGAGCAUUUCCUUCUCCCGUUUCCUCAGGACCUGCUCGGGGGUGUUCAGGGGAAGGUUGUCACAAACAUACUUGCAAUAAAAAUAAUCAAACAAAUGGAGAGCAUGUCUAUUUCCGGAAUUAGAUUCUUUUGAUAGUGAAGGAAUCAAAUGGGAUAAGGGGCAGGGAGAAGUCAGGUAAGUCCAAUAUUACUAUGUCCACAUGCUUAAAUUUCACUCCUCGGGGGCUUAUUGUCCCUAACAAUGGCCCUUUUAGCUAUGGAAUACGGGGAAUGACUAACCUUUUUCUAGCCUGUCAGUGAGAACUACCACUAUAUAUUGGUAAGUAUUUCCGUACAAAAUUCACUUGGAAAGGAUAUUGUUUCAAGCCUGGACAAAGCUCAUAUUGUCAUGUUCCAGUUCCAGUUAUUUUAGGCAAGGAAGGGGAAUUUCCACUGCUCCCUACAAUCAGUUUUGAGCACUUAGCUCUGAGUAAUAACUUCCUUGUAAUCUGUCAGAGCC